GAAAAAAGAUGGAGGUCAAAGAAGAAAGUCUUCGUUCUUUUAAUUUGUUGAUUAAAAACGUGGAGAAAAAUGUCGAACACUUUAUAACUCACGAUGAAAAUCAAUGUUCGGAAAUUCUUUCUGGCCUACGCGAAAUUUACUACCUCACUAAAAAGGAGGAAGCUGUUUGUGGGCGAAGUAUCAAAGGAUGUCCUUUCGAGAGACUACAACUUGAUGAUACGAAUUUCGAUGUAGAAAUAAUAUGGCAGCAAAUACAGCUUCAAAAUGAGUGCCUUUUACCUAAGUUGAGUGUAGAAGUUAAGACUUUGACAAAUGGAACUGUAUUUUUGAGGAAAAAUAUGAAAAUUUUAGCGGCCGAUGUAAGAACAAAUAAAAUGGAAAGUGAUUCUCAAAUAUUGGCUCAAAGUGAUUCUGAGAAGGGUGGAUCCAAAUCAACUUUGGAGAAACAGCAGGAAAAGGUGAAAAAGCAGAUUGCGGCAUUGGAACAAAGUAAUAUUGCGACAAAAAGUUGGCAACUCUCAGGAGAGACAUCGCAUCUGUACGACCGCAAAAUAGUCUGCUGGAGGAAGUGUUGCAGUUUGAUCACACUACAGCUCCUGCUCCUGUUAUAACAGUAGAGAGAAGCAAAAAUUUAGAAAAUAUUAUCAUCGGGAGAAUUAAAGAUAACGCAUGGGAUGACGUGGAGCGAAAAGAAAAGCCAGUAAAGGAAGUUGAAUACAAGAAAGCUCACCCAAUAAGUCAA
Molecule: RNA transcript, 742 nt
Organism: Xenia sp. Carnegie-2017
Lineage: Eukaryota; Metazoa; Cnidaria; Anthozoa; Malacalcyonacea; Xeniidae
Exons: 4
Source: RefSeq, a predicted model, not a curated record